GUGUCAGCAGCCGCGGUAAUACCAGCUCUCCGAGUGGUAGGGACGAUUAUUGGGCUUAAAGCGUCCGUAGCCGGCUUAGCAAGUCUCCUGUUAAAUUCAGCGACCUAAUCGUUGAGCCGCGGGAGAUACUACUAGGCUAGGAGGCGGGAGAGGUCGAUGGUACUUCCGGGGUAGGGGUGAAAUCCUAUAAUCCCGGGAGGACCACCAGUGGCGAAGGCUGUCGCCGAGAACGUGCCCGACGGUGAGGGACGAAACCCAGGGGAGCGAAUCGGAUUAGAUACCCGAGUAGUCCUGGGCGUAAACGAUGCCCGUUAAGUGUUGCAGUGACCACGCGUCACUGCAGUGCUGUAGCAAAAGCGAUAAACGGGCCGCUUGGGAAGUACGGCCGCAAGGCUGAAACUUAAAUGAAUUGACGGGG
RNAcentral lists this ribosomal RNA (418 nucleotides) under uncultured prokaryote. RNAcentral's name for it is "bacterial SSU rRNA". It matches the Rfam family "Archaeal small subunit ribosomal RNA", at positions 455 to 873 of the family's 1478-position model. The record is from RNAcentral.